Molecule: ribosomal RNA, 864 nt
Filed under: uncultured Neocallimastigales
Lineage: Eukaryota; Fungi; Neocallimastigomycota; Neocallimastigomycetes; Neocallimastigales
Description: partial large subunit ribosomal RNA
Rfam family: Eukaryotic large subunit ribosomal RNA
Source: RNAcentral
CGCAUCUGUGCAUGCAGCAUAUCAAUAAGCGGAGGAAAAGAAACUAACAAGGAUUCCCUUAGUAACGGCGAGUGAAGCGGGAAGAGCUCAAAUUUGAAAUCUUCAAGGUUUUACCUUGACGAAUUGUAGUUUAAAGAAGUGUUUUCUGCUGAAGUUUUGGUAAAAGUUCUUUGGAAUAGGACAUCAUAGAGGGUGAGAAUCCCGUAUUUGACCAUUAUUUUCAGCUUUGUGAUACACUUUCAAAGAGUCGGAUUGUUUGGGAAUGCUAGUCCAAAAUGGGUGGUAAAUUUCAUCUAAAGCUAAAUAUUGGCGAGAGACCGAUAGCGAACAAGUACCGUGAGGGAAAGAUGAAAAGAACUUUGAAAAGAGAGUUAAACAGUACGUGAAAUUGUCAAAAGGGAAGCGUUUGACACCAGUGUUGUUUUCUCGAAAAUCAAUUAAAAAUGGCUCGAUUUUGUAUUGCUGAGACCUUAAAAGCUCACUGUACAUUUUUCGUGUCUUUUUUAAUGCACUUUUCGUUUAACAAGUCAACAUCAGUUUCUUUUGUUGUAAAAGGGUCAUUGGAAGGUGGCUUUCUUUUCGGAGAAAGUGUUUAUAGCCUUUGGACUCCUGCAAUCGGAGAGACUGAGGUCUGCAGCGUAGACUCCUUCGGGGUUAGAUACAUUUGUGCUAAGUUAUAGCUUUUUAUAGACAACUUGUUGACUAUGAAUUAGUCUUGUAGCUUACUCGCUUAUGCUAUUUUACCUACGCUUAGGAUGUUGAAGAUAUGCGCGACACGACUCUAUACAUGACUCUGCGCAUAUCAAUAAGCGGAGGAAAAGUAAACUUACCUACGCUUAGGAUGUUGAACUCUAUCACACACAG